AGAGGGAGAGGGUGGGAGCGGAGAGCCGUGGGUGUGAGGGGAAAGGAGGUCACAUCUGCCUCGGCGAGGCCAGAUGCGUGUUUGUAAACGCCGUCGGCUGGGGCUGGGUCGUUACACAAGGUUCUGCGCUUGUUGUUCUGUUGAUAAGCGUUCCCAGUCCCCGGCUUUCCACAGAAGAGCCUCUAAAUGAGGUUCAGAUGUACGCUAAAGACACAGAAAACAAACUGCAGAGAAAGGACUUGCGACUGAAUUACGUCUUAACUUUUUGAAGUCAGCGUCUGUGGGUCCCGAUGUCCAAAAAACCCCUUAGGUGCUGUUUAUCAGAUGGAGGAAUAAGUACUGCUUUACUAAUGGCUGAAGAAAGUGAAGUGGCUGAAGACACCCGAGCUUUAAAUCAGAGACAAGAGCUUUUCGCCGGGCUGGCUGUCCUCCAUGUAUUCCGUCUUGCUCCCCCUUACGUGAGGUCCAGUGACUGUGAGACUGCAGAAUGAAUCAGGACGCCCUGCCUCUCAGGAAAAGAAGGGAGGAAAAGAACUGAUGAACACAGAGAUCUCAGCAUCUAGGCCAUUUUAUACCUCUCCCCUGCCAAAAACUUCAUUACCAGGCUGACAAUGUCAGUUGUUCCGACAUUAAGAGGGAAGUUUUGUAUUACAUCUAAAGUAAAGUGACUGCGUGCUGCUGCCUUCAAGGAGCCCUUCCACUGCUCCUUCCUCAUCCUCCCCCACCAGCGAGCUCUGGCCCCUUCCCUGAAGGCAAUUCUAGGGAUUGUGCAGCUGAACAGUGAGCGGCUCAGAGCUGAUCCAGUGCAAGCUCAUCCACCAAGCAAGUGCAGUAAUAAAAAAAAAGCAUUUUACUCUUGGAUCCAGUUUACGACCACCCCAAGGCCUGACUCAUAGGAAGCAAUGGGGGUGCCACUGUAGCAGACGCAGUUGUCCAAGAUUCCGGGUAACAUGAAACUUCUCCUGAAGAUAUCAGGUGAUCCUUUGAACAGGCAGGUCUGGGUGCAGCCUCUGACUCCUGCUGUUUGGGAAGGUUUGUCUUAGGUGUGGCAGAGCAGCUAGCAAAGAAAUUAACCCUUCAACACAAGACAUCAAGUUUGCUGUUCCCUGGGCAGCGUUGUGAGCCAACCACAUUGAAACCUGUUUAAACACGAUAGAGCCUUUCAUGCUUUCUGUUUUGUAACUCAUGCAGCUUUGCAGAAGUUUAUCCUAAAAACCACCAGUUGCUAGGUAGAAUUAAUCUUACAGCAUCAGGCUGGAAAGGUCGGUUUGCCAAACGCUGGUAAGCAUAGAAGAGAUCUGAAAAUCGACAAAGCCAACAAAAGCUUCAGGGAAGAAAAAAAAAAAAAACAAAACCCAAAAGACCUUGACUAAUAGAAAUUUUGACAAAUUUGGUAAAUGAGAAUUUUGUUCCAAUCCCACACCGCUGACAUUCCACCCCCCUGCUUACUUCAAACCCCCAAAUGAACAGCAAGGAUGCUAUCUGAAGGGUUUGUACCACAAGAGUGCCUAGGGGCACGGGGCUAGUUAGCUUGUGUCAGAAAGCACUGUGUGCACACUCACAUUUACACAGGGUCUACAAAAAGACAAUCGCAGGUCCAGAAAAGCCAUGGGAACAUAGCGAUAUACAGCAAAUGGGGGGAAAAGGGGUGAAAACAAGGGUGCAGAGCAAUGGCAAGAUGAUCUGGACUAGUGAGGCGGUCAGCCUGUCACUUCACCUCAGCAGAGCUCUCAUCUUAUCUGCGCAUCAGUGCCCAGGAGACUGUAUCCUCAGUCCCAGGACAGCAGAGGAACAGUAGUAGUAAGGUCUCACAAAGUCUGUGUCCAUCCAGCAGACUCAGUGCUUCAGGUGUGGCUUCAUCUUCUCCUCUGUAUAGACACUGUUUGCCCCAAGGAAGAGCAACACUAUAGCAUUAAGUGCAACUAUGUGAGAUCCCAGCGAUCUGGCUGGGAAGUAUGAGACAAGGGCAACUUUACAAUCUGCGGUGCCCCAGCUGCCACGGACAUGAUUCUUCUGUUGGGCUAUGAACACACAUUAAUUUUAGCAACAUUAUGGUUUUUGAUGGACAGGACAGCUCCUUCCAUGUGUGGGUGACCCAGGGCCAAAGAAAAGAAAGUUUGCACCAGUAAUGAUCUGUAGGACCUGCCAUGAGAUCUAACGACCGCUAUGGACAGGGCCACGCGCCAGCCAGGGAAAGGCCUGGAAGGCCAAGUGAGGAAGUUUGUGUUUGAUGCAGCAGAAAAGGAGACAAAAGGACAGGUACAAAAACCUCCUGGGGCCUAAAGAGAAAUUUGAGACUAUGACACUCUAUGCUAGGAUAUAUUGUAAUGGAGGAAGACGAAUUUGUCUUUAACCUCCUAAAGCAGGUAUCCUAGCAUAAGUUAACCACCUGCAUCCAGCAGUUCUGGCAGUCUUGGGUGCUAAUGGACAAAGCAAAAAGGAGUGAUAAUAUCAGCUUAAUAAAGCCUAAAAGACAAAA
Aquila chrysaetos chrysaetos is the source of this 2479-nucleotide long non-coding RNA. RefSeq lists it as uncharacterized. The record is from RefSeq and is a predicted model, not a curated record. The transcript has 3 exons. NCBI's taxonomy places the organism in Eukaryota, Metazoa, Chordata, Aves, Accipitriformes, Accipitridae.